Molecule: ribosomal RNA, 460 nt
Filed under: uncultured bacterium
Lineage: Bacteria
Description: partial 16S ribosomal RNA
Rfam family: Bacterial small subunit ribosomal RNA
Source: RNAcentral
CCUACGGGUGGCAGCAGUGAGGAAUAUUGGUCAAUGGCCGGAAGGCUGAACCAGCCAUGCCGCGUGAAGGUCAGUGCUCUAUGGGCGUUAAACUUCUUUUGUGCGGGAGCACUAAAGUUCACGUGUGCCCCGACGAGAGUACCGUACGAAUAAGCAUCGGCUAAAUCCGUGCCAGCAGACGCGGUAAUUAGGGGGAUGCAAGCGUUAUCCGGAUUUAUUGGGUUUAAAGGGUGCGUAGGCUGGGAGGUAAGUCAGCGGUGAAAUGCCCCCGCUCAACGGGGUGAAGUGCCAUUGAUACUGCCUUGCUGGAGUGCGGAUGACGUGGGAGGAAUGUGUGGUGUAGCGGUGAAAUGCAUAGAUAUCACGCAGAACACCGAGUGCGAAGGCAUCUCACGAAUCCGCGAUUGACGCUGAGGCACGAAAGCGUGGGUAUCAAACAGGAUUAGAUACCCUUGUAGUC